CUGGAUGUUAUGUCUCUCACUUAGGCCGGUGCCAAUUCACUUGCAUGGUACGUUUUUAUAAACUUUUGAGUAAUUUUUAGCUGGUGUCUCUACACGUUCUCCGAGUAUAUACUUAGACUAAGUUGUCUUGGUUUAUUUCGUGUACUUGGAGACCAUGGGGAGGUGCUGCUAAUUUUUUUUAAAAAUAGAAGAAACAUGCUUAAGAUUGACACUAGUGAGCAGAGACAUCUAGGAACCGAAUAGAAGCC
This 248-nucleotide long non-coding RNA is filed under the name Panax ginseng (ginseng). Its description in RNAcentral is "long non-coding RNA (PGIN_LNC013987)". Lineage: Eukaryota; Viridiplantae; Streptophyta; Magnoliopsida; Apiales; Araliaceae. The record is from RNAcentral.